RNAcentral lists this ribosomal RNA (828 nucleotides) under uncultured marine bacterium. Its description in RNAcentral is "bacterial SSU rRNA". It matches the Rfam family "Bacterial small subunit ribosomal RNA", at positions 57 to 931 of the family's 1533-position model. The record is from RNAcentral.
GCAAGUCGAACGAAGUAGCAAUACUUAGUGGCAGGCGGGUGAGUAACAUGUAGGUAUCUGCCCUAUGGCCUGGAAUAACACGAGGAAACUUGUGCUAAUACCGGAUAAGUCUUUACGGAGAAAGCUUUAUGCACCAUUGGAUGAGCCUGCACUUGAUUAGUUUGUUGGUGGGGUAAUGGCCUACCAAGACUGUGAUCAAUAGCUGAUUUGAGAGGAUGAUCAGCCACAUUGGGACUGAGACACGGCCCAAACUCCUACGGGAGGCAGCAGUGGGGAAUCUUGCACAAUGGAGGAAACUCUGAUGCAGCGAUGCCGCGUGAGUGAAGAAGGCCCUUGGGUUGUAAAGCUCUUUCGUCGGGGAAGAAAAUGACUGUACCCGAAUAAGAAGGUCCGGCUAACUUCGUGCCAGCAGCCGCGGUAAUACGAAGGGACCUAGCGUAGUUCGGAAUUACUGGGCUUAAAGAGUUCGUAGGUGGUUGAAAAAGUUGGUGGUGAAAUCCCAGAGCUUAACUCUGGAACUGCCAUCAAAACUUUUCAGCUAGAGUAUGAUAGAGGAAAGCAGAAUUUCUAGUGUAGAGGUGAAAUUCGUAGAUAUUAGAAAGAAUACCAAUUGCGAAGGCAGCUUUCUGGAUCAUUACUGACACUGAGGAACGAAAGCAUGGGUAGCGAAGAGGAUUAGAUACCCUCGUAGUCCAUGCCGUAAACGAUGUGUGUUAGACGUUGGAAAUUUAUUUUCAGUGUCGCAGCGAAAGCGAUAAACACACCGCCCUGGGGAGUACGACCGCAAGGUUAAAACUCAAAUGAAUUUGACGGGGACCCGCACAAGUA